UUUUUUUUUUUUUUUUUUUUUUUUUUGGUAUUAGGAGUCAUAUAACUGAAAUCCUAGACGGUGGUACAUAAAUUGAGCAGUGUAUGCUUGGCUGAAAGACACAUAAACAAAUAAAGAGGCUUCAUUUCAUGCAAACUUCUCAGUGGAACGACAUGCCCUACGGAUCACUGGGCCCGGGAAUGUUUUUCAUCUGUUUGGGAGCACACCCUAUGGUCCUGCAUCCUGUGGCAUGAGCAAUGAGACUCACAAGGACUAGGCCUUAAUGCUUAAGGCCAUUAAUUCAAGACAACCAACGCCAGCAGCACACGAGCAUUCAGAAGCGAGAUUCUGAGUUCUUUCCAACCCGCACGUCGACUUCAAG
Molecule: long non-coding RNA, 361 nt
Filed under: Vulpes vulpes (red fox)
Lineage: Eukaryota; Metazoa; Chordata; Mammalia; Carnivora; Canidae
Description: lncRNA (ENSVVUG00000008113.1)
Source: RNAcentral